This is a long non-coding RNA of Phyllostomus discolor (pale spear-nosed bat), 1852 nucleotides long. RefSeq lists it as uncharacterized. NCBI's taxonomy places the organism in Eukaryota, Metazoa, Chordata, Mammalia, Chiroptera, Phyllostomidae. The record is from RefSeq and is a predicted model, not a curated record. The transcript has 2 exons.
UAAAUAAAUAAAAAAUCUUUUAAAAAAUAAAAUGAAACUUUUUAUUUUAAUUGUAGAUUCACUUGUAGUUGCCAGAAAUAAUAAAGAGGUACUGUGUAUCCUCUACCCAGUUUUCCCCAGCAUCUUGCAAAGCUGCAGGGAAGUAUCACAGUCCGCAUGCCGAUGUCGGUCUGGUGGAGAGAGAGCAUUGCCAUCACCCUGAGGACCUCUAGUUGCCCUUUUUGGUCACCCCCACUUCCCUCCUAGUCACACCCCUCCUGAAAGCCUGGGAGCCACUACUCUGUUUUUUAGGUUCAUAAUUUUGUCAUUUUGAGAAUGUGAUAUAAAUGGAAUCAGAUGGUAUAUAACUUGUUGGGAUUGCUUUUUUCACCUAGUGUAAUUCUCCGGAGAGUCAUCCAAGUUGUUUCACGUGUCAAUAGUUUGUUUCAUUUUAUUGCUGAAUAACAUUCCAUGGGAUGGAUGGGCACUACACUGGGUUUAACCAUUCAUCUGUUGAGGGACAUCUGUGUUGUUUCCAGUUUCUGGCUAUUAUGCAUAAAGCUGCUGUAAACAUUCAGAUUUUUGUGUGAACACAGGUUUUGAGUUCUCUGGGAUAAAUGCCCGGGAGAGCAAUUGCUGGGUCAUAUGGUAGUUGCAUAUUUAGUUUUUUGAGAAAUCACCAAACUUUUCUGGCAUGGCUUUCCUAUUUUACAUUACCACUAGUAAUAUAUGAGUGAUCUAGUUUCUUUGCAUCCUCACCAGCAUUUGGUAUUGUCAUUAUUUUUUAUUUUAGUCAUUCUGAUAGCUGAGCAGUGAUAUCUCAUUGUGGUUUUAUUUUGCAUUUCCCUAAUGGCUCAUGCCUUUUCAUGUGCUUAUUUGCCAUCUGUACACAGCAGGUCCUGGAAUAAGGUUUUGUUUAUCAUUGUAAUGUUGUAGGAACUUAACUCUUGUUUAUAUCAUACAGCCUGUGGUGAAUUUGGUUUAGUUACACUUUGUUUCACUUAAGGUUGCAAAACCUAUUGGUAACUGAUGAGUGGGGAUGAGGAGUUAGUGUAUUCUCUUAGGUGAAAUGUCUCUUUGAGACUUUUGCCUGUGUUCUAAUUGGGUGGUUUUCUUCCCUUUUGAGUUUCAGAGUUAUUUAUGUAUAUUAGGUACUAGUCCUUUGUUGGAUAUGGGGCUUAAUAAUAUUUCUCCCACUCUGUAGCUUGUCUUUUCAUCCUUACGGGAAGGUCCUUCAUGGAGCAAAAGUUUUUAAUUUUGAUGAAACCCAGUUAUGAAUUUUUCCUCUUAUGUAUUUUGUCUUUGGUGUCAGGUCUAAGAACUUCCCUAGUUCCCUAGUGCUGGAUUCCAAAGAUUUUCCCCUGUCUUUUUCUAAAAACUUUGUAGUUUUCCCUUUUACAUUUAAGUUUGUGACCCAUUUUUUAUUUUUAUAUAAUUAUGAGAACUUAGGUCAAGGUUCACUUAGCUUGUUGAUAUGAUUGAUUACAUUGAUUAAUUUUGAGUAUUGAACCAUCUUGUAUCCCUGGAAUAAACCUUACUGUUCAUAGAACAUCAUUCUUUCUAUAUAUUGCUGAUUUCUGUAUGCUAGUAUUUUGUUAAUGUUUAUAUCCAUGCUAUAAAAGGUAUCAGUCUUUAGUUUUCUUUUUCUGCAGUACCUUUAGUUUUGGUAUCAAGAUGCUAAUGUUAGGUUCAUAAAAUGAGUUGAGGAGUGUUCCCUCUUUUUCUGUUGCCUGGAGGAGAUUAUAUAGAAUUGGUGUUAAUUCUUCUUUAAACAAUUCUCUAGUGAACCAUUUGGGUCAAGAGCUUUCUUUGGGGGGAGUUUUAAAAUUAAGAAUUUAAUUUCCUUAGUAGUUAUAGGACUACUUAAAUAAUG